UGGGCGCAAGCCUGAUCCAGCAAUGCCGCGUGUGUGAAGAAGGCCCGCGGGUCGUAAAGCACUUUCAGCAAGGAAGAAAAUCCCGGAGCGAAUACCUCCGGGCCUUGACGUUACUUGCAGAAGAAUCGCACCGGCUAACUCCGUGCCAGCAGCCGCGGUAAUACGGGGGGUGCAAGCGUUAAUCAGAAUUACUGGGCGUAAAGCGCGCGUAGGCGGCUUGGUAAGUCGGAUGUGAAAUCCCCAAGCUCAACUUGGGAACUGCAUUCGAUACUGCCAAACUAGAGUAUGGUAGAGGGAAGCGGAAUUCCCGGUGUAGCGGUGAAAUGCAUAGAUAUCGGGAGGAACACCAGUGGCGAAGGCGGCUUCCUGGAUCAAUACUGACGCUGAGGCGCGAGAGCGUGGGUAGCAAACAGGAUUAGAUACCCUGGUAGUCCACGCCCUAAACGAUGAAAACUAGCCGUUGGGGGAGCUUGAUCCUUUAGUGGCGCAGCUAACGCGAUAAGUUUUCCGCCUGGGGAGUACGGCCGCAAGGCUAAAACUCAAAGGAAUUGACGGGGA
This 558-nucleotide ribosomal RNA is filed under the name uncultured bacterium. RNAcentral's name for it is "bacterial SSU rRNA". It matches the Rfam family "Bacterial small subunit ribosomal RNA", at positions 372 to 919 of the family's 1533-position model. The record is from RNAcentral.